Molecule: non-coding RNA, 88 nt
Organism: Podarcis lilfordi (Lilford's wall lizard)
Lineage: Eukaryota; Metazoa; Chordata; Lepidosauria; Squamata; Lacertidae
Source: the annotation of a GenBank genome assembly
GUCCACAAGCUACAGCACAGUUGGCAGAGCUUGAGACUCUUAAUCUCAGUGUUGUUGGUUUGAGCCCUGCACUGCAGGGGGUUGGACU